AUCAACUUUCGAUGGUAGGAUAGAGGCCUACCAUGGUGGUAACGGGUAACGGGGUGUUAGGGCACGACACCGGAGAGGGAGCCUGAGAAACGGCUACCACAUCCAAGGAUGGCAGCAGGCGCGCAAAUUACCCAAUCCCGACACGGGGAGGUAGUGACAAUAAAUAACAAUACGGGGUUCUUUCGGAUCUCGUAAUUGGAAUGAGUACAAUUUAAAUCUCUUAACGAGGAACAAUUGGAGGGCAAGUCUGGUGCCAGCAGCCGCGGUAAUUCCAGCUCCAAUAGCGUUUAUUAAAGUUGUUUCAGUUAAAAAGCUCGUAGUUGAAUUUCGGGGUUAGUAGAUUGGUCAUGCCUCUGGUAUGCACUGGUCUCACUGAUUCCUCCUUCCUGAUGAGCCGUAAUGCCAUUAAUUUGGUGUUGCGGGGAAUUUGGACUGUUACUUUGAAAAAAUUAGAGUGUUUAAAGCAAGCUAACGCUUGAAUACAUUAGCAUGGAAUAAUGAAAUAGGACGUUCGAUCCUAUUUUGUUGGUUUCUAGGAUUGACGUAAUGAUUAAUAGGGAUAGUUGGGGGCAUUAGUAUUCAAUUGUCAGAGGUGAAAUUCUUGGAUUUAUUGAAGACUAACUACUGCGAAAGCAUUUGCCAAGGAUGUUUUCAUUAAUCAAGAACGAAAGUUAGGGGAUCGAAGACGAUCAGAUACCGUCGUAGUCUUAACCAUAAACUAUGCCGACUAGGGAUCGGAUGAUGUUAAUUUUUUAAUGACUCAUUCGGCGCCUUACGGGAAACCAAAGUGUUUGGGUUC
This 799-nucleotide ribosomal RNA is filed under the name uncultured Glomeromycotina. RNAcentral describes it as "SSU rRNA". It matches the Rfam family "Eukaryotic small subunit ribosomal RNA", at positions 314 to 1114 of the family's 1831-position model. The record is from RNAcentral. Lineage: Eukaryota; Fungi; Glomeromycota.